UCUAUGGGCCAUCUGUAUGUCCUCCUUGGAGAAGUGUUUAUUCAGGUCCUUUGCCCAUUUUUAAAUUGGGUUGUUUGUCUCCUUGGUGUUGAAUCAUAUGAAUUCUUCAUAUAUUUUGGAGGUUAAACCCUUGUCCAAGGUAUCAUUGA
Phyllostomus discolor (pale spear-nosed bat) is the source of this 149-nucleotide long non-coding RNA. RefSeq lists it as uncharacterized. NCBI's taxonomy places the organism in Eukaryota, Metazoa, Chordata, Mammalia, Chiroptera, Phyllostomidae. The transcript has 3 exons. The record is from RefSeq and is a predicted model, not a curated record.